AAUCAACGCUGGCGGCGUGCCUCAGACAUGCAAGUCGAACGCGAAAGGCCCCUUCGGGGGCCCGGUAGAGUGGCGCACGGGUGAGUAACACGUAGGUAAUUUGCCUUCGGGUGGGGAAUAACAGCCGGAAACGGCUGCUAAUACCGCAUAAUGCAGCGGCUCGACAUCGAGACAGUUGUUAAAGCGGGGGAUCGCAAGACCUCGCGCCUGAAGAGAAGCCUGCGGCAGAUUAGCUAGUUGGUGAGGUAAUGGCUCACCAAGGCGACGAUCUGUAACCGGCCUGAGAGGGCGGUCGGUCACACUGACACUGACAUACGGGUCAGACUCCUACGGGAGGCAGCAGUCGGGAA
RNAcentral lists this ribosomal RNA (350 nucleotides) under uncultured bacterium. Its description in RNAcentral is "bacterial SSU rRNA". It matches the Rfam family "Bacterial small subunit ribosomal RNA", at positions 32 to 361 of the family's 1533-position model. The record is from RNAcentral.